Molecule: long non-coding RNA, 210 nt
Filed under: Lotus japonicus
Lineage: Eukaryota; Viridiplantae; Streptophyta; Magnoliopsida; Fabales; Fabaceae
Description: long non-coding RNA (LJAP_LNC000332)
Source: RNAcentral
CGGAAGUGACGUUGAUAUUUCUUUUUUUGCUGGAUAAAUACGUGCCGGAUCCUCCCUGCUUUCUGAAAAAAUGUUCUUAAACUCUGAUGCGUCAUCCUUUCUCCCAAACCAUCCACAAAAACAGAAAAAGAAUCUCUCCAUUGUUUGGAUCCUUUACUGUCAAUACUUGCUGUCAUAGGAUGCCUACCUUGCUGCUGUCCAGAUUUAAAC